Molecule: ribosomal RNA, 454 nt
Filed under: uncultured bacterium
Lineage: Bacteria
Description: bacterial SSU rRNA
Rfam family: Bacterial small subunit ribosomal RNA
Source: RNAcentral
UACGGGAGGCAGCAGUGGGGAAUAUUGCACAAUGGGCGCAAGCCUGAUGCAGCCAUGCCGCGUGUAUGAAGAAGGCCUUCGGGUUGUAAAGUACUUUCAGCGGGGAGGAAGGCGAUGCGGUUAAUAACCGCGUCGAUUGACGUUACCCGCAGAAGAAGCACCGGCUAACUCCGUGCCAGCAGCCGCGGUAAUACGGAGGGUGCAAGCGUUAAUCGGAAUUACUGGGCGUAAAGCGCACGCAGGCGGUCUGUUAAGUCAGAUGUGAAAUCCCCGGGCUUAACCUGGGAACUGCAUUUUGAACUGGCAGGCUUGAGUCUUGUAGAGGGGGUAGAAUUCCAGGUGUAGCGGUGAAAUGCGUAGAGAUCUGGAGGAAUACCGGUGGCGAAGGCGGCCCCUGGGACAAGACUGACGCUCAGGGUGCGAAAGCGUGGGGAGCAAACGAGGAUUAGAUACC